RNAcentral lists this ribosomal RNA (372 nucleotides) under uncultured organism. RNAcentral's name for it is "bacterial SSU rRNA". It matches the Rfam family "Bacterial small subunit ribosomal RNA", at positions 526 to 896 of the family's 1533-position model. The record is from RNAcentral.
CGUAGGGUGCGAGCGUUAAUCGGAAUUACUGGGCGUAAAGCGUGCGCAGGCGGUUUUGUAAGACAGGCGUGAAACCCCCGGGCUCAACCUGGGAACUGCGCUUGUGACUGCAAGGCUAGAGUACGGCAGAGGGGGGUGGAAUUCCACGUGUAGCAGUGAAAUGCGUAGAGAUGUGGAGGAACACCAAUGGCGAAGGCAGCCCCCUGGGUCGAUACUGACGCUCAUGCACGAAAGCGUGGGUAGCAAACAGGAUUAGAUACCCUGGUAGUCCACGCCCUAAACGAUGUCAACUAGGUGUUGGGUGGGUAAAACCAUUUAGUACCGGAGCUAACGCGUGAAGUUGACCGCCUGGGGAGUACGGCCGCAAGGUUA